This 445-nucleotide ribosomal RNA is filed under the name uncultured bacterium. RNAcentral's name for it is "bacterial SSU rRNA". It matches the Rfam family "Bacterial small subunit ribosomal RNA", at positions 354 to 796 of the family's 1533-position model. The record is from RNAcentral.
GUAAGGAAUAUUGGUCAAUGGACGCAAGUCUGAACCAGCCAUGCCGCGUGGAGGAUGAAGGUCCUCUGGAUUGUAAACUUCUUUUAUCUGGGAAGAAAAAGGACUUUUCUAAGUCAACUGACGGUACCAGAUGAAUAAGCACCGGCUAACUCCGUGCCAGCAGCCGCGGUAAUACGGAGGGUGCAAGCGUUAUCCGGAUUCACUGGGUUUAAAGGGUGCGUAGGUGGGCAGGUAAGUCAGUGGUGAAAUCUCCGGGCUUAACCCGGAAACUGCCAUUGAUACUAUCUGUCUUGAAUACCCUGGAGGUGAGCGGAAUAUGUCAUGUAGCGGUGAAAUGCUUAGAUAUGACAUAGAACACCCAUUGCGAAGGCAGCUCACUACAGGAAUAUUGACACUGAGGCACGAAAGCGUGGGGAUCAAACAGGAUUAGAAACCCGUGUAGUCC